RNAcentral lists this unclassified non-coding RNA (90 nucleotides) under Pseudomonas sp. NFACC24-1. The record is from RNAcentral. RNAcentral also lists the same sequence under 1 other name. Lineage: Bacteria; Pseudomonadati; Pseudomonadota; Gammaproteobacteria; Pseudomonadales; Pseudomonadaceae.
UGUGGGAGCGGGCUUGCUCGCGAAGAGGUCUUAUCAGCCAACAUUGAAGUCGCCUGACACGCCGCUUUCGCGAGCAAGCCCGCUCCCACA